This is a long non-coding RNA of Apis florea (little honeybee), 169 nucleotides long. The record is from RefSeq and is a predicted model, not a curated record. NCBI's taxonomy places the organism in Eukaryota, Metazoa, Arthropoda, Insecta, Hymenoptera, Apidae.
UGAUACUGAUAUGAUAUUUAGAUUUCUCAAUGAUUUUAGAAUAAAAUAAGGCAUAAGAUGGCGAAGAAAAGCUUUACGUGCUCGAUGCUAUUUCUACACAUGUGCUAUAUGGUACUCUGUGAAUUCUGAAAAUUCCCAUAAUGUAUAUAUUUUUUUGAUAUAUAUCAUU